Molecule: ribosomal RNA, 405 nt
Rfam family: Bacterial small subunit ribosomal RNA
UGGGGAAUAUUGCACAAUGGGGGAAACCCUGAUGCAGCAACGCCGCGUGAAGGAUGAAGGUUUUCGGAUUGUAAACUUCUUUGACGAGGGACGAAAAAAAUGACGGUACCUCGAAAACAAGCCACGGCUAACUACGUGCCAGCAGCCGCGGUAAUACGUAGGUGGCGAGCGUUGUCCGGAAUUACUGGGUGUAAAGGGCGUGUAGGCGGGACUGUAAGUCAGAUGUGAAAGGCAAGGGCUCAACCCUUGAGCUGCAUUUGAAACUACGGUUCUUGAGUGAUGGAGAGGCAGACGGAAUUCCCUGUGUAGCGGUGAAAUGCGUAGAUAUAGGGAGGAACACCAGUGGCGAAGGCGGUCUGCUGGACAUUAACUGACGCUGAGGCGCGAAAGCGUGGGGAGCAAACA